This 479-nucleotide ribosomal RNA is filed under the name uncultured bacterium. RNAcentral's name for it is "bacterial SSU rRNA". It matches the Rfam family "Bacterial small subunit ribosomal RNA", at positions 28 to 507 of the family's 1533-position model. The record is from RNAcentral.
GAUGAACGCUAGCCGGAGGCUUAAUACAUGCAAGUCGAGCGGGAUUGGGUAGCAAUACCCAUGAGAGCGGCGCACGGGUGAGUAACGCGUACACGACCUACCUCUGACAGGGGGAUAGCCCUGGGAAACUGGGAUUAAUACCGCAUAUUAUUCUGAAUAAUAAAGGUUUGGAAUGAAAGCUGAGGCGGUCAGAGAUGGGUGUGCGUCUGAUUAGCUAGUUGGUAGGGUAACGGCCUACCAAGGCGAUGAUCAGUAGGGGGCGUGAGAGCGUGGUCCCCCACACGGGUACUGAGACACGGACCCGACUCCUACGGGAGGCAGCAGUAAGGAAUAUUGGUCAAUGGAGGGAACUCUGAACCAGCCAUGCCGCGUGAAGGAUGACGGCCCUCUGGGUUGUAAACUUCUUUUGGAUGGGGCGAAAAAACGGGAUUUAUCCUGGACUGACGGUACCAUCAGAAUAAGCACCGGCUAAUUCCGUG